CCGAUAACGAGAGAGACUUUUAUGUUAUAUUAAAUAAUAUUAUUUUAAAUUUUAUUUACAUAAUAUUUUAUUUUAAUAACAGAUUAAUAGUGUUUAACUAUUUGAGAGAGAGCAAUAACAGGUCUGUGAUGCCCUUAGAUGUCCGGGGCUGCACGCGCGCUACAAUGUAGUGAUCAUUAUGUUCCUGUUUAGAGAUAAAUGGGUAAACAUUUAAAACAUUACGUAACUGGGAGUGAAAAUUGCAAUUAUUUUUCAUGAACGAGGAAUUCCAAGUAAACGUAAGUCAUUAACUUACAUUGAUUACGUCCCUGCCCUUUGUACACACCGCCCGUCGCUGCCCGGAACUGAGCAAUAUCGAGAGGCAGGAAGAGAUACAAAAAAUAUUUAUAUUUUUUUGUGUUAAAUCCUUUCAAUCGCUGUUGUUUGAACCGGGC
This 434-nucleotide ribosomal RNA is filed under the name Strongyloides fuelleborni. Its description in RNAcentral is "SSU rRNA". It matches the Rfam family "Eukaryotic small subunit ribosomal RNA", at positions 1325 to 1783 of the family's 1831-position model. The record is from RNAcentral. Lineage: Eukaryota; Metazoa; Nematoda; Chromadorea; Rhabditida; Strongyloididae.